This 924-nucleotide ribosomal RNA is filed under the name uncultured bacterium. RNAcentral's name for it is "bacterial SSU rRNA". It matches the Rfam family "Bacterial small subunit ribosomal RNA", at positions 465 to 1401 of the family's 1533-position model. The record is from RNAcentral.
AGGAGUGACAGUACUUUAGGAACAAGCCACGGCUAACUACGUGCCAGCAGCCGCGGUAAUACGUAGGUGGCAAGCGUUGUCCGGAUUCACUGGGCGUAAAGCGCGUGUAGGUGGUUCUGUAAGUAGGGCGUGAAAGCUCCCGGCUCAACUGGGAGAGGCCGUACUAAACUGCAGAGCUAGAGGAUGGUAGAGGGAGGUGGAAUUCCAGGUGUAGUGGUGAAAUGCGCAGAUAUCUGGAGGAACACCAGUGGCGAAGGCGGCCUCCUGGACCAUUCCUGACACUCAGACGCGAAAGCUAGGGUAGCAAACGGAAUUAGAGACUCCGGUAGUCCUAGCCCUAAACGAUGCAGACUAGGCGUCGGCGGUUUAAUCACCGUCGGUGUCCAAGCUAACGCGAUAAGUCUGCCGCCUGAGGACUACGGCCGCAAGGCUAAAACUCAAAGGAAUUGACGGGUCCCCGCACAAGCAGCGGAGCGUGUGGUUUAAUUCGAUGCUCCGCGAAGAACCUUACCUGGGUUUGACAUAACAGUGGUAGAGAAGUGAAAACGGAUCGACCCUUCGGGGAGCUGUUACAGGUGUUGCAUGCCUGUCGUCAGCUCGUGUCGUGAGAUGUUCGGUUAAGUCCGCUAACGAGCGCAACCCGCGCUGUGUGUUACAAGUGUCACACAGUACCGCCGGUAUUAAGUCGGAGGAAGGUGCGGAUGACGUCAAGUCAGCAUGACCUUUAUAUCCAGGGCUACACACACGCUACAAUGGUCAGAACAAUAGGUUGCCAAGCCGCAAGGCGGAGCCAAUCCUCCAAAUCUGGCCUCAGUUCAGAUUGCAGGCUGCAACUCGCCUGCAUGAAGUCGGAGUUGCUAGUAACCGCAGGUCAGCAUACUGCGGUGAAUACGUUCCCGGGGAUUGUACACACCGCCCGUCAAG